AACCAUGUGGUAUCCCAGAUAAGUUCAGAAUGGAUUUACAGCUAGUAUCAUUAGAAAUUACAAGAGGAAAAGGUUUUUCAGAAUGUGAUUCGAUAAACUCAGUUUUUCAUAGAUACUGCAAAAACUAUUUUCAUCAUCAUAUUGUAUUGGGUAAGUGUGUGUGCUUUUCCAUUCCUAUAUAUACAAUGUACAGGAAAGGAUACUGGGAAUUGAGUCCAGUUUCUGAGAGCCACUCUGUACAAAGAAUGUAAAGCAAACAGGAAUUGCAAAUGGACUGAGAAAACAAAAGCAUUUUUAUCCAGUUAUGUCAUCCAGCCUUGAUAUUACUGAAUAUCCAGAAGAUUCCUUGAAAAUUGUAGGAAAAAGAAUAAGGGAACUGGACCAUUAGACUCAGAAGAAAUAAAGCUGAGCAGAUCUUGAUCAGAUUGGUUCGAGCAAAGCCAUGAAAAGUAUGAACA
Molecule: long non-coding RNA, 458 nt
Filed under: Androctonus crassicauda
Lineage: Eukaryota; Metazoa; Arthropoda; Arachnida; Scorpiones; Buthidae
Source: RNAcentral